UAACACCCGAAGCCGGUGGCCUAACCCUUGUGGGGGGAGCCGUCGAAGGUGGGACCAGCGAUUGGGACUAAGUCGUAACAAGGUAGCCGUACCGGAAGGUGCGGCUGGAUCACCUCCUUUCUAAGGAG
This 128-nucleotide ribosomal RNA is filed under the name Listeria monocytogenes. RNAcentral describes it as "partial 16S ribosomal RNA". It matches the Rfam family "Bacterial small subunit ribosomal RNA", at positions 1415 to 1533 of the family's 1533-position model. The record is from RNAcentral. Lineage: Bacteria; Bacillati; Bacillota; Bacilli; Caryophanales; Listeriaceae.